This is a small nuclear RNA of Mustela putorius furo (domestic ferret), 107 nucleotides long. The record is from Ensembl. NCBI's taxonomy places the organism in Eukaryota, Metazoa, Chordata, Mammalia, Carnivora, Mustelidae.
GUGCUCACUUCGGCAGCACAUAUACUAAAAUUGGAACAAUACAGAGAAGAUUAACAUGGCUUCUGUGCAAGGAUGACAUGCAAAUUCGUGAAGCAUUCCAUAUUAAA